RNAcentral lists this ribosomal RNA (255 nucleotides) under uncultured bacterium. RNAcentral's name for it is "partial 16S ribosomal RNA". It matches the Rfam family "Bacterial small subunit ribosomal RNA", at positions 524 to 776 of the family's 1533-position model. The record is from RNAcentral.
UACGUAGGGUGCGAGCGUUGUCCGGAAUUAUUGGGCGUAAAGAGCUCGUAGGCGGUGUGUCACGUCGGCCGUGAAAACCUGCAGCUUAACUGUGGGCGUGCGGUCGAUACGGGCAUCACUGGAGUUCGGCAGGGGAGACUGGAAUUCCUGGUGUAGCGGUGAAAUGCGCAGAUAUCAGGAGGAACACCGGUGGCGAAGGCGGGUCUCUGGGGCCGAAACUGACGCUGAGGAGCGAAAGCGUGGGGAGCAAACAGG